Long non-coding RNA from Cynoglossus semilaevis (tongue sole), 3769 nucleotides. RefSeq lists it as uncharacterized. The transcript has 4 exons. NCBI's taxonomy places the organism in Eukaryota, Metazoa, Chordata, Actinopteri, Pleuronectiformes, Cynoglossidae. The record is from RefSeq and is a predicted model, not a curated record.
UGGCCCAGAAAUUGUCUGGAGGGUUCAUUGGAAGCGUGCAGCUGGGUGCGUUUCCUGCUGUUUGCCUGAACACAUACCCUCAUUGGGAGACGGUGGGCAGCUCUACCUAUUAAAAUGUAAAUUCCUUUUCGGUUACGUGGUGGCAGCAGCAGCAGCAGCAGCAGCACAAGUGACAGCAAGCCCAGACUAGGAUGCAGCGGAUAGGAGAAGGUGAAGAUGGUGUGUAAGAAGUGUGUGCACCCCACAGGCAGGACCUGUCUUUUACCAAACAGUGGCUCCCAUAUGGAGGCAGUAUACUGUUUAUAUAUGACUGUGUGAUAUGCACCACUGGCUUGGCUUUUCAGUCGAUUUAAGGCUAGAAACAACAGGCGACUGGGCUGUCCCUCUGAUCUAAGCUUGGUAUAAUAAUGGCUGUCAGUUUGUGGACUUUUUUAGAAAACAGGAUUUUUUCUUUUAAUUGCAGGUUAAGGAAACGAAGCAUUCUGUUCUACGUCAAGAGAAAAUAAUCUGUUUAUCUUUUAGAAGUUUUGAGUAAUGACGUAAAAUACUUGUAUUUAUUAUUGUGUUAGAUUUGAGAGGUAUUUUAAAAUAAUAUGCGAAGAUUAUAUAUUAUCUUACGCUCUGUGUCUCUCUGUGCCUACAAAAUAUGAUAUAUAUGUAUCAUAUAUAAAUAUAGAUUCUAUAUAUGUAAAGUAAACUAUAACUUUUUUAGGUGAAGGAAAUGAAAAUAUUUUCAUUUAUAUUGCAUAUAUGUUGUACAUAUAUAGUCAUUGACAUUGUGUUUUUCUCUGCUAACAUUUUCAAUUUCACUUACCUCUCAAUUUUAUUAGAUUUCCAUUAAUAUACUCAGACAUGCUGAGGCACUCAUCAUAGAAAAUAUUUUUGUAACUUAUUAUGCAGCCGUCAUGUUUAGUAUGAGCCACUCGUCCAUCUAAAUGAACGCACAAUGACUAACUGUCAUAAGUAAUACGGUACUUUUGAAGACAAAAUCAAUACACAAAAUUAACACAAUCUUAUAUAAACAUGCGCGCCGUUCCUUCUCUGGCGUCACAGUAACUGGAUCACACUGUGUCCCAGGUCCGUGUUCAUGUCCAAAGGCAUGCAGUAUAUAAUACAAAGUAAUGUAAAAUGAUGACUUUUUGUGCAGAAGAGGUGCGCGCUUUGCCAAGCACUGUGGGUGACGUUGCACUUUUGCACCACUAGAUGGAGCUGUGCUCAUGCUGUAGACAGCUGAAGGAGACACGCUACAGAGUCCACUCUCAAACUCUCCUUCUCCAUGUUGUCCAAUGUGCUGAAGAGCAGAGACACAGCUGGCUGCUCCUGCUGUGGGUGACCACUCCAGAGCGUGUAUUGCGUCACUUUGUUGUUUCACAAAAUGAAGAAAAUUAAAGGAAUAAAAUGUGCAUUAUAUUUGAAUCCUUCAAACUCCGGUCCUUCGCAGCAUCUUUGAAACACUGUCGAGAAAAUUGGGUUUUAUCGGAGACUUUGAUCGCAGAGCUCGGAUGGUGCUGAGUCUUGUAUUAGAAGCUCGUUAUUCCCUGCAACAGAAAGACUGUGGAGGAAUUCACUUGAUGCUGUCUAUUGUGUGACAAUAGGUGGAAUUGAUUUAGCAGUUACAGGCUAGAUUUAUGCAGGGCCCCAACGCCAGUCUAAUGUCUGUUGCACUCAUGCAGCCUGUGUCCCACUGCUGCCUCUGAAGGUAAUAAAAAAACCCCUGAUAUUUCUGUGCUCUGUCAAAGGAUUUGGAAGAAGUCUCACGUCUGCACCUGUUAACUUGAGGCAAAUUUGGAUUAUAGCUUUUUAAGAAUUGUUCAUAAAUCACAUGUAAAUGUCAGGUGUUUUUGUGGUGCUAUCUAAACUCACUUUUAUGAGUAAAGGCAUGUACUGUAUAAGUAUAAUAUACUAUAUAAUAUAUUAUUACCACAAGAAAUAAAAAAAAAUGUUUGUGAUAAAAAUUAUAAGGGGAUUGUGAAAAAAAGAACAAAAUUCUGAUCUCGUAGGCCUUCAGUACUGAUAAUCCUGGCUCACUGACUGUGAAUAACUCUAAAGUUUCCUUUCAGAUCUGACUGUACUAGACUCUGAUUUAUAAGUUAAGACUUUGCACAUUAAAAAUAUAUAAAAAAACUUUCGGAUUCUUUGAAUGCCGUAAAACUGACUUACUUUAAUUAUUACUUUUAGGAAAUACCUGUUCCUAGAGUCGAGAUACAUAAAUUCAGUUUCUACCACUUUUUGGGUGAAGCUGGAGCCAAUCCAGUCAUCAUCUGAUUCAGGUGCCCGUCACUGGACAGUUGGCCUGUCCAUAAAAGAGCCACAUAUAGAUACAAACAACAAUUUAGAGGAUAAAUCUACCAUAACACUGUACGUCUUUGUAGUAGGGAAAUGUACUACUUGGAGUAAACCUACAUUAUGUAUAAGCAGAGAGAACAAUGUGAUAUAAUGUUGCAUUUUUGACCACCACAUGAAUACUGUAGGUGUUACUGUCAGAUUACCGAUAAUUAUAACAAGCAAUAACGAAAGGAAGUCUAUGAAAUCAAUUGCAGCACUAAUUGAGUUGAUAUAGUGAUGUGUGCACCGUUGCUCAACAGCGCCCUCCUCUACAGGUAACAGGUGAACGUGAUUGGUGACGGUCAACGGCUGACGUGCUCCAGGGAACACAGCACAAAGACUCUCAUUCUGUCUGAAAUGGCACAUUUAGCUGCAAUAAGGGCUGGAUUGAAGAAGAAGACCGGAGUCUGGAUGACGGGCCACUCCGAGACGCUGGCGUGCCGUAAAUGUCACCCGUCGUCAGCCGUUUGUGCAGCACAUGCCCUUGUAGGAGAGAAGGAGAGUGCCGAUGUUGCAGAUCCCAGACUUUGAUUUAGACACGAAAGGCAGACCGGCGGCAAACGCACCCAGGCGUGAAGGAGGCACUCGGAGACCGCACAAAGUGCAUUGGAGCCAGCGCCCUGAUGGAUGCCCACUUCAUGAAUUUUGAAUUAAAUUGGCCCUUGAUGAAUUUGAAAUGUGGUACCUCUGUUCCAAAGCAAUAGGAAUCCAAUAAAAAGCUGGUGCCAUACAAAUAAAGCUAUACAUUCCCCAAGACCAUGGAAUGACCCUCAGGUGGGGAAAAAAAUGACUGCAGCACAGGGAAGCAGCGGCGGAGAAAGCCUAGAAGAGAAGAUGGGAAAAAAGGUCCUGAUAUCAGCGUGGCAGAGAGAGGCGGCGACAGAUAGAAAGGCUGUGAUAUGAAGAAGACGAAGCAGUGGAAGAGCCGGCGAGAUAGAGAGAGUCUUAAAUGAAGGUGGAAGGGGAUUUCGCAGAGGGGUGUCGAGGGGGUGUCAGGUCUGGGUUCUAGCACAUUAGCCCUGUCCUUUUGAGUGGAAGGGAACAUAUUGGUCAGAGCCAAUCCCCACAUGGGGCUCGGACUGCCUGGAGCUCAUCAGUGAGACAUGCCAGGGCCUGGAGUGAAUCAGAAGCCCCCGUCCUAAGGCCCCCCCGAUUCCCCUAGAGGAGGCAGACACAGCCACUCAGAUCAGUCCGUGUUCCACAGAGCUGUCUGUCUCUGCCUCACCAGCACGAGAAGAGCAGCGUCACUCUGCCAGUUCUUACGCUAAUUACAGCUGAUUGUUUUGUUUGUAGUCCGGUGCCGUCGUAUUGACUCUUCAACAGUGAUGUUGUAUAAUUACCAUUUAGAAACAAUUCUAACAACAAAAGCUAGAAGAAAAAAAAAACCAAAACAACAUUCCUACAAAUGACAGAAAACAUGUUUUUCUGAACAGUCAGUCAAAUC